AAUUGUACAAGCAGCCUCUACAUUUCAAAAACAGAAUCCAUUGAUAAGAGUCCAUUUUAAAGAAACGUCUCCAGGCUUGGGGCAUGAGAUCAUGCCUGUCAAAUAAUUUGUCAGUCUCCAGAUUAGUAAUGGGUGACUUGGCACCCUGGCUGAUGAGCUGGCAAGAGAGAAGCUAUCGUGUGUCAUAUCAGAGACCGCCACAGACACCCAGGGCAAUGUGAUUUGUCACUUGAAGGAGGAGACAGCCUGAGAGCGCCCCAUCCUCCGGCUGCUGAGUCACCCCGCUCCGGUAGUUAUUUAAACAGAAGCCUCCAGCAUACACGCGAUCAACACUCCACUGAGACAAUGGCCAGACCUCCAGAAGUCAUGUCCAGCUCGGACUGCCCACAAGUGCAGUUUUCAAAAAUGCUUGGGGCCUCUUUUCCCCAUAUUCUCACACUGGGGUUCAGACAUCUGGCUCUUUUCCUCAAAACUGGCCUAUCCAGCCAGUCGUCCUUUGAGAAUUCCGGCCACAGAGGCCAUCAACUCCUACUGGAAGUUUUCCUGUGGUCCUUCCGAUCAGACUUUCUUAUAUUUCUUUGAAGUCAACAAAUAUUGGUUGAGCAUCUGUUAUGGGUUAGGGAUGGAGCUACAGGUAAGGGCUGGUUCAAAAACGAGACACACUGCUUGUCUUUUAGGAGCUCACAGUCCAGGGAAAGGGACAGUCAGGAAACCAGGAAACCAGGCAACCACCAUAUAUAUACAAAGGGAUGGCUCUAAGGUGCUCUCUUCUGUGUGUCAGAUGAGGACUCCCUUCACAUUUGGCUGUCAUCUAUCAGCCACAACCGUCCUGUCCCAAAGAGCUGGCUUUGGCUUUAAAGCCUGCUUCCUGGCUGGGCUUCUCCACCACUCCAUUAAGGAUACCAUUUGA
RNAcentral lists this long non-coding RNA (910 nucleotides) under Mustela putorius furo (domestic ferret). RNAcentral's name for it is "lncRNA (ENSMPUG00000031811.1)". The record is from RNAcentral. Lineage: Eukaryota; Metazoa; Chordata; Mammalia; Carnivora; Mustelidae.